This is a long non-coding RNA of Centruroides sculpturatus (bark scorpion), 531 nucleotides long. RefSeq lists it as uncharacterized. Lineage: Eukaryota; Metazoa; Arthropoda; Arachnida; Scorpiones; Buthidae. The record is from RefSeq and is a predicted model, not a curated record. The transcript is spliced from 4 exons.
GAAACUAUUGCUGUGUUUUGAAUCCAGACGCGCCCCUGGUGGCGAUUUUCCGAGGCAGAGCCAGGAAAGUACUCUAUUGCACCAUCGUGAGAAGUUACAUCUGUGAACGGUUUCUGGCUUUGCCAUGGAGAAUCCUGAAUGUGCCGAAGGAACAGUUGCCUCAAAGAAAGAAAACAAAGAAGCAAACAAGGAUUUGAACAAUUAUUCCACCUUUUCUUUAAGCAACGUAGAAGAAAUGUCGACGAUGUUAACGGGAUUGAGUUUGGCGGAUUUUACGCCCGUUGUCGAACGGGAACUAUACUCCUUGCAGAAAAAUGUGGCAAAUGGUAUAGAAAAUGCUUCGGUGCAGUCGCCGCUUAGCGUAUCGCGGACUAUGGCGUGUUCCAUCUGCAGCACGAGUUUUAUAGACAGAAGUGAACAGGUGGGUGUAAACUUUGUACAUGUUUUGAAUUCUAUGCACAAUCUUAAAAAUUGAUAAGUAUUUUAUGAGAUUUGAGGGAUUAUAAGGUAGAAUCAGUUGAGCUAUUGAAC